RNAcentral lists this long non-coding RNA (654 nucleotides) under Sorghum bicolor (sorghum). RNAcentral describes it as "long non-coding RNA (SBIC_LNC002751)". The record is from RNAcentral. Lineage: Eukaryota; Viridiplantae; Streptophyta; Magnoliopsida; Poales; Poaceae.
CACUCAUAUAUGCUACUUCUACUCCGGAAGUACCAUCCACAUAUAUCCACCCAUUCCAUCUCCAGAACCACCUAAAAAUAUUCUACUCCUAAUCCGGGAGAGAAUAACCAAAAAUAUUUCUGUUUUCCCUUGUGAAAUAAAUGCUCAAGUUAUCUUGUUACUACCACUUGCUAUAUUAUCUCAAGAGAUGAGUGCUCUAAAAAAAAGAGAGAGAAAAUAAUACGAGGAAAUAAAAAGGAGCAAGUGCUCGGAACCUCGAAAGAAAAGAAAAAGUGAGACGAGAGGUAAAAAUGGACAAGUGUCCGACAGUAGAAUUAGGGUUGCAAGAUACCCACCUGAGAGAAAAGAAAAAGAAGAGCAUCUUAUUCUCCUCAUAAAGUUUCAAAAGCAAGGAAGGUAUGUAUCCCCUCAAAAGAGCAAAGUAGAAUUAGACUUUCACCACCAUUGUUUUCACCAUUGUUUUCACCAUUGUUUUCACCAUUGUUAUCACUAUCACCACCAUACAUCAUUCAUUCACCACACAUGCACAUCUUGAUUAGGCUUAUUGAUUUGUUUCUUUGGAUCCACGGUUUGACUAUGCAAUAAAUGUCUUGUAAGUAUGUAUAUUUUAUCUCCCACCUAUGAGCUCCAGAUAUUAAAGCCUUAUUAGAAUAG